CAGCAGCCGCGGGAAUACAGAGGAUUUAAGCGUUAUCCGGAAUUACUGGGUGUAAAGGGAGCGUAGACGGUUAAACAAGUCUGAAGUGAAAUGCCGGGGCUCAACCCCGGAGCUGCUUUGGGAACUGUAGAACUGGAGUGUCGGAGGGGUAAGCGGAAUUCCCAGUGUAGCGGUGAAAUGCGUAGAUAUUGGGAGGAACACCGGCGGCGAAGGCGGCUUACUGGACGACAACUGACGUUGAGGCUCGAAGGCGUGGGCAGCAAACAGGAUCAGAUACCCCCGUAGUCCCUGUCUCUUAUAC
RNAcentral lists this ribosomal RNA (301 nucleotides) under uncultured bacterium. Its description in RNAcentral is "partial 16S ribosomal RNA". It matches the Rfam family "Bacterial small subunit ribosomal RNA", at positions 509 to 807 of the family's 1533-position model. The record is from RNAcentral.